RNAcentral lists this ribosomal RNA (1226 nucleotides) under metagenome. Its description in RNAcentral is "bacterial SSU rRNA". It matches the Rfam family "Archaeal small subunit ribosomal RNA", at positions 216 to 1445 of the family's 1478-position model. The record is from RNAcentral.
GGCGGCAGAUUAGGCUGUUGGUGGGGUAAAGGCUCACCAAACCAAAGAUCUGUAGGGGGAAUGAGGGUUCGAGCCUCGAGAAGGACACUGAGACAAGGGUCCUAGCCCUACGGGGUGCAGCAGAUGCAAAACCUCCACAAUGCACGCAAGUGUGAUGGGGGAAUCCAACGUGCAUAUCGUAAGAUAUGCUUUUGUUAAAUGUAAAUAGUUUAGCGAAUAAGGAGUGGGCAAGACCGGUGCCAGCCGCCGCGGUAAUCCCGGCGCUCCAAGUGGUGAUCACGUUUUAUUGGGCCUAUAGCAUCCGUAGCCGGUUGAAUAAGUUUUUGGUGAAAUCUGGCAGCUUAACUGUCAGGCGUGCCGAAAAUACUGUUUAACUUGAGAUUGGGAGGAGUCAGGAGUAUUCUUGGGGGAGCGGUAAAAUGUUUUAAUCCCAAGAGGACUGCCGGUGGCGAAGGCGCCUGACUAGAACAAGUCUGACGGUGAGGGAUGAAAGCUAGGGGAGCGAAGAGGAUUAGAUACCCUCGUAGUCCUAGCCGUAAACGCUGCCUGUUUGGUGUUGUGUGUCUUUCGAGGACAUGCAGUGCCGUAGCGAAGGUGUUUAACAGGCCGCCUGGGGAGUACGGUCGCAAGGCUGAAACUUAAAGGAAUAGGCGGGGGAGCACUACAAGGGGUGCGCGCUGCGGUUCAAUUGGAUUAUACGCCCGGAACCUCACCAGCGGCGAUAGCAGAAUGAAGGUCUGUCUGAAUGGCACACUCGACACGCUAAGAGGUAGUGCAUGGCCGCCGUCAGCUCGUGCUGUGAAGCGUUCUGUUAAGUCAGAGAACGAGCGAGACCUGCGUUUCCAGUUGCUAAUCAUUUUUUGAUUUCAAGAGGUGAUGCACAAUGGAGAGACUGCCUUCGUAAGGAGGAGGAAGGUGCAGGCAACGGUAGGUCUGUAUGCUCCAAAUCCGCUGGGCUACACGCGGCAUGCAUUGGUUAAGACAACGGGCUGCAACUCCGAAAGGAGAAGCGAAUCCCUUAACCUUAAUCUUGUUCGAAUCGAGGAUUGCAAUUCAUCCUCGUGAAGGCGAAAUCCCUAGUAAUUGCACGUUAGCAACGUGCAGUGAAUAUGUCCCUGCUCCUUGCACUCACUGCCUGUCAACCCAUCCGAGCCGGGUUUGGAUGAGGAUUCUGAUGAAGAAUUCGAAUCUGAGCUCAGUGAGGCGGGGUAAGUCAACACAAGGUA